Molecule: ribosomal RNA, 376 nt
Filed under: uncultured bacterium
Lineage: Bacteria
Description: bacterial SSU rRNA
Rfam family: Bacterial small subunit ribosomal RNA
Source: RNAcentral
ACACGUAUGGGGCAAGCGUUGUUCGGAAUCACUGGGCGUAAAGGGCGUGUAGGCGGUUCGAAAAGCCUGGCGUGAAAGGUAUCGGCUUAACCGAUAGACGGCGCUGGGAACUGCCGGACUGGAGUCACGGAGGGGGAGCUGGAAUUCCAGGUGUAGGGGUGAAAUCUGUAGAGAUCUGGAAGAACACCGGUGGCGAAGGCGAGCUUCUGGCCGAUGACUGACGCUGAGGCGCGAAAGCGUGGGGAGCAAACAGGAUUAGAUACCCUGGUAGUCCACGCUGUAAACGAUGUGCACUAGGUGUUGGUGCCAUACAGGCAUCGGUGCCGUAGCUAAGGCGAUAAGUGCACCGCCUGGGGAGUAUGCUCGCAAGGGUGAA